Molecule: non-coding RNA, 72 nt
Organism: Bos taurus (domestic cattle)
Lineage: Eukaryota; Metazoa; Chordata; Mammalia; Artiodactyla; Bovidae
Source: Rfam
UCCCUGGUGGCUCAGACGGUAAAGCGUCUGCCUGAAAUGCAGGAGACCCGGGUUCAAUCCCUGGGUUGGGAA